RNAcentral lists this unclassified non-coding RNA (3667 nucleotides) under Polistes canadensis. Its description in RNAcentral is "f-BAR and double SH3 domains protein 2, transcript variant X1". The record is from RNAcentral. Lineage: Eukaryota; Metazoa; Arthropoda; Insecta; Hymenoptera; Vespidae.
UCCUUCUAUAGUCGAGGGCAAGAAAUCAGUAGCGUACGAGUACGCGAUCAGCGAAGGUGGGUGAAUGCAUUUGUUGUCAGACGAGAGAAGUACGAAAACAACGGGCCACCACCUUCCGGUGCGUGCGAACGGUGUGAAAACGGGCUGCCAGGUAGUGAGGGUUGCAAACUAGGCGGCUCGUUCAGCAGCAUGCAACCACCACCUAGAAAAGGAAAUUAUGCAAAAUUUCUUAAAAAUGUACACACCGAACAAGCUGCAAAGUUGCAAGCGAAAAAUCAACAUGAGUGCGAUUUGCUGGAAGAUAUUCGUAACUUUACUAUUAAAAAAUCCGCGAUCGAAAAGUCAUAUUCCGAGGCAUUGCUCAAAAUAUCUUCCGCAUAUUUGAAUAAAAAGAUACCAAACAUUCCGGAUCUCAAGGUUGAGGGAGUAGAUGAAAAAUGGAAUAUGUGGAAUGUAUGGAGAACGGUACUCGAGGAAAAUGAAAAACUUGCGAGAGCACGAUUAGCUGCCGUUGAAGUUUUUCAACAACAAAUCGCCGACGAUGCGAAAAGUUUAAGAAUGCACAAAAUUCAAAUUUCGAAAAAGGCAAUCGACCAAUUAUUGAUAGUACAAAAAGAGUUACAAGCCUGUGUACAGGAUGUCGAUAAAACGAAAAAAUUGUACUUCGACGAGGAACACAGUGCUCAUGACGUUCGUGAUAAAGCGAAAGAUAUAGAAGAAAAAUUAAAGAAAAAGAAGGGUUCCUUCUUCCAGUCAAUAACGUCACUGCAAAAAAAUAGCGCUAAGGUAAGCUCAAAACGCGAUGCUUUGGAAGAAAAAUCAACAGGAGCUCGCAAUGAUUAUUUACUUAGUCUCGCUGCUGCCAAUGCUCAUCAAAAUAGAUAUUUUGUAGUUGAUUUACAAUCUACUAUGCAAUAUUUGGAACAAGGCGUUUACGAUAAAGUAGCUGAAUAUUUAACACUUAUGGGUCGUACCGAACUUCUAACAUGCCUGGCAACGCAAAAUAGUUUUGGAAAAAUUCGCGAUCAAGCUCAACAGCUCACUAGGGAAUAUAAUAUACAAUGCUGCUGCCUAUAUUAUCCUGUCUUAAAGCAGCACAUACAAUAUGAAUUUGAAGCUUGCGAUAGUGAUCCGGUAGAAAGGAUAACUGCUGAUCAUGCUGCUGCUACUACUUUGGGUAAAGAAACGCGUCGCUGGUCGACGAGAAUUGCUCGUGAAGUUGCUAGUAUACGAGAAAAUAAUCGAAAAUUACUAAUACUUCAGCAGCUGAAGGACUCUGGACAGAAGACUGAUCCUAGCGAUCCAAAUGGGCCUGACGUAGAUACUAAAAUAGAUGAAUUAAAACAUAGUAUUCGGCGGGCAGAGACUGCAAAAUUGAAAGCAGAGGCAAGAAUAGAAUGUCUUCGACACGGCGGAGUGAACGUCGACGAAUUUCUUCAAGAAGCUGAAACGUUGAGUGUCCAAGACAUGCCAAGAUCCGCAAGUUCUUUGUCGGUUAGAACUGAUGCAUCCGGUGCAGGGCAGGAAAAUCCUUCCUCUGACUCAUUCUAUGAUAGUGAUGGUGAUGGUGGUAGUGAUUUAACAACGGUAGAAAGACCUGGUACACGUAAUGCACCACAACAAGAGGAAGAGGUUCCAGAAGAAAGACAAAGGCAUGAUAGUGAUGAGGUUGAUGCUUUACUCGAACAAGAGAAACAACGGAUAGAACAGUUAACUGCUGGUUGGGAUGACCCAACAGCUGUUGAUUGGGCAAAUGAAGAGAAAGAUGAACAAGUUGAAACCCAAGAACCUUCUGCUCCUGUUCAACAAAUAUACAAAUGCACGGCACUAUAUUCAUACACGGCACAAAACCCAGACGAAUUGUCGAUUGUCGAAAGCGAACAACUCGAUGUUGUUGGCGAAGGUGACGGAGAUGGUUGGUUGAGGGCUCGAAAUUAUCGCGGGGAAGAGGGUUACGUACCACAAAAUUAUUUGGAUGUUGAACGAGAACAGGAUGCAACGUCUGGUCUUUCUUCUCAAGGACCAGGCCUUGUCCAACAAAUAUCCUUCUCUUCUGUUGAUUAUACUAUUGAUGAUCAUGAUGCUGUUGAUCCUGAUGCUAAUUUACAACCUGCUAUAGAACAGCAACAACCGGAGGCCAUUGUGCAAAAUCAUAUAAAUGUUGUAGAUCUUGAACAAUAUUGUAUCGCUCUUUACGAUUACGAUGCUACUUGCGAGGAAGAACUUAGCUUCCUUGAAGGUGAUAUCCUUAAAGUACUUAGGAAAGAACCCCAUGAUGUUGAUGAUGGUUGGUGGGAAGGAGAAUUACGAGGAUCCCGAGGAUUGUUUCCAUCUCUCGUUGUCGAACCAUGUGCUCCUGAUGGCUCGCCUUUAACUCCUCAGGACGAUAUGACACCCCCUAGUUCUGCUCCACCUGUCUUUACACCACCCGAAGUGCCGGAAUUCUUGCUGGAACAAGAAGCCGCACAAUUUAUCGCUAAUGAACUUAUCGAUGGCAAAGCUGAAGAAAACGAAGAACAAAGUAGUUUCGCAAUAAAUUUAACGAGAGGUCAGAAGGAUCAUUACGGCUCGCAAUUUGAUGAGGAAGAAACAUCCGAACCGCCAGGGAUAAUCGUUGUGGAAGUAUCCGAAGAUGUGGAAGAUAAGACUACUACUGGCGAGAACGAGAAACAAUUAUCGGAAAAUAUUACGGAGAAUACUGGAGACAGUGGAAAGGAAGAUUUUGGUUUGGGUGUAGCACAAAUUGUUAUUACAGCGGCAACUCCAAUGGAAGAAGUUGAACAUCCAUUUCCUGGGGUAAACGAGAAUACGGAUGAUACGGUUAAAUCAACGGAAGUUUCUGAUGGAAGUUCUGAAGCGGAUUUACCGUCAAGCGUUACCCCAGAUAUCAAUGAAAGCGACUGCAAAGAAACAACUGUCAUUAUGAACGAACAUGAUGAAGUUACUGAAGUUACUGAAGUUACAGAAGUUCCCGAGGAUAUAGAAGAGAAAUCAACGAUCGAUGAUUUGCCAGCCGAUUCGGCGCCCUUUCCAUUGAGUAGUAGUUCUGGUAGCGAAGCAGAUUCAACGUCCGGUCCGAGUACGGCAGAUAACUCUCAGUCAAUUCCGUCGCGAGGCACUGUGAUAGAUGCACAGGAAGCUGAAGAGAUAGCAAUUAUACUCGAAAAGGUAGUUUGCGGUGGGAGGGCAAGUAUUCCCGACGAAUUACAACCUGACCAACUAGAAAAGCUUCAAAAUUUAAAAGAAUCGAAUGCCUAGGAAUGACUAUACCUCGGAGAUGAUACCGACUAUCCUGCCUUAACAAAUAAAUGGGCUCUUCCAAAGAAUCAUCAGAAUAAGUUCCAGCAUUUGUUGGAGUUUUGGAAAUCUCCCGAGGUUAUUGGGAAAAAAGACUAAUGAAUUAACCAAACAACCAAAGAUUUUUAUGUUAAUACAACGUACACAAAUCUUUUGCUAGGCAACACUCUAGUAACAUAUGUAAACCAAGAAGUUGCGACUUUUGCAAUUUGCGAGGCAUCUAUGUACAGUUGUAAGGCGACUGCUAUUCCUGCUGCAUUAACAACUGCAGUUAACUUGCCAAAGUUACUCUUAGCUGCUCCCACAGCGUUCGAUACAUCUUCUUCCGAAGUGACCUAGACAAAUAUUCGUCGUAUAUAAAAUUAUAUAA